This 358-nucleotide ribosomal RNA is filed under the name uncultured bacterium. Its description in RNAcentral is "partial 16S ribosomal RNA". It matches the Rfam family "Bacterial small subunit ribosomal RNA", at positions 338 to 693 of the family's 1533-position model. The record is from RNAcentral.
CCUACGGGUGGCUGCAGUGAGGAAUAUUGGUCAAUGGGCUUACGCCUGAACCAGCCAAGUCGCGUGAGGGAAGACUGCCCUAUGGGUUGUAAACCUCUUUUGUAAGGGAGCAACGCCGGCUACGUGUAGCCGGACUGAGAGUACCUGACGAGAAAGCAUCCGCUAACUCCGUGCCAGCAGCCGCGGUAAUCCGGAGGAUGCGAGCGUAAUCCGGAUUUAGUGGGUUUAAAGGGUGCGUAGGCGGAAUGCCAAGUCAGCGGUAAAACCGCGGGGCUCAACCUCGCUCCGGCGUUGAAACUGGCGAUCGUGAGGGGGAGAGAAGUAGGCGGAAUGCGGGGUGUAGGGGGGAAAUGCAGAG